Molecule: long non-coding RNA, 363 nt
Organism: Electrophorus electricus (electric eel)
Lineage: Eukaryota; Metazoa; Chordata; Actinopteri; Gymnotiformes; Gymnotidae
Source: RefSeq, a predicted model, not a curated record
UUCACCAACAUGUUUCAUGUAGAUUUACCUUCCUACACCGUUUGGUUCCAACUCUAUCCACCAAGUGCCUUGUUUUGGAGCGAAACUCUGCAGAAAGGCAUAUCUUCAGCAGGAGGGCUGGUGACCUCUGCUAUAUACCCUCUAACACAGUCUAACCGGGCGGAGGGGGGCUGCCGUAGCAAUGGGACCCCAUAAGGAACCUCGUCAGGGACUUUGUAACCAAUGGCUCUGUUGUCCCAUGAGGGAUCCUGUAACCCUGUGACCUCCUGAGGGACCCUGUUCAACAGAGGUAAAGGACACAUACUCGCACACAGAAGAUAGAUAACAAGGAACAGUCACUGGCUACAUGCACUUCGAUGUCUC